GAUUGCAGGCUGNAACCGCCUGCAUGAAGUCGGAAUUGCUAGUAAUCGCGGAUCAGCAUGCCGCGGUGAAUACGUUCCCGGGCCUUGUACACACCGCCCGUCACACCAUGGGAGCCGGUAAUACCCGAAGUCAGUAGUCCAACCACGUGAGGACGCUGCCGAAGGUAGGAUUGGCGACUGGGGUGAAGUCGUAACAAGGUACC
Molecule: ribosomal RNA, 203 nt
Filed under: uncultured bacterium
Lineage: Bacteria
Description: partial 16S ribosomal RNA
Rfam family: Bacterial small subunit ribosomal RNA
Source: RNAcentral